UAAGGAAUAUUGGACAAUGGAGGCAACUCUGAUCCAGCCAUCCCGCGUGUAGGAAGAAGGCCCUAUGGGUCGUAAACUACUUUUGUCAGGGAAUAAACCUCUCGAUUUACUCGGGAGCUGAAGGUACCUGAAGAAUAAGCACCGGCUAACUCCGUGCCAGCAGCCGCGGUAAUACGGAGGGUGCAAGCGUUAUCCGGAAUCACUGGGUUUAAAGGGUGCGUAGGUGGUAUCGUAAGUCAGAAGUGAAAGU
RNAcentral lists this ribosomal RNA (250 nucleotides) under uncultured bacterium. Its description in RNAcentral is "partial 16S ribosomal RNA". It matches the Rfam family "Bacterial small subunit ribosomal RNA", at positions 355 to 601 of the family's 1533-position model. The record is from RNAcentral.